UGCUCUGGAUUCUGGUUAUGUGGCCUGCAGCACCUAUAAGAACAAGCUCGUACAGUGUGCCUGCAUUCCAGCUUCUUAGACUCUACAUGCAACGAGAUCUUUGGUUUUGCCUUUGCUGGUAAGUAAACAGUGAUUGUAACUGAAGCAGUAUGAACCUGGCAUUGCGUAGCACAUUUGACGACUUACAUACAAUAGUUUGACCUUUUGUGAUAUGUUUCCAUUUACUGAUUGGCAAACACACAGGAUUUGUGACCUGUAGCAGCAAAGCCCCCACACAGGACCCCUCUGACUCUCCCUGAAAAUGUCCCUGAAGUUUAAUAGCCCA
This is a long non-coding RNA of Oreochromis aureus, 325 nucleotides long. The record is from Ensembl. Lineage: Eukaryota; Metazoa; Chordata; Actinopteri; Cichliformes; Cichlidae.